RNA transcript from Spodoptera frugiperda (fall armyworm), 1109 nucleotides. RefSeq lists it as uncharacterized. The transcript is spliced from 2 exons. The record is from RefSeq and is a predicted model, not a curated record. NCBI's taxonomy places the organism in Eukaryota, Metazoa, Arthropoda, Insecta, Lepidoptera, Noctuidae.
AUUACUUAGCGUCUUACCGGCUGAUCUAGAAGUUAUUGUGGAAGCCAGUUGGAAGUAGUUACUUUUUAAUAAAUAAAAAUAUUUAAAGAACAAGAUGAUAAAUAAAAAGGUGGUAACAUUAACAACAUACAUUUUCAGUGUUUCACGAGUGUAAAAGUUUUGUAGUCUGUGAUAUAGUAGUUCAGUGACAGAUGACAGUAACAUGACAUGACAAUUUGACAGCCACUGUCAACAUUGACGUUUUCUUUGCAACCGGCCCACAUUGUUUUCUUGUGUGAGUUGUUGGUUGGUGAAUCAAGAAUUAUUAUCGUUGUGAUUAUAAACUGCAUGAGAAACUGACUGUGAGUAACUCGUGCUAUCAACAGUAGCACCUACAAUUCAGUAUUCCAAACAGUUGCAACCAUGACAGAGGCUAUCGUCAAAAACAUUGACAACGCGUGUGAAACUGCUGAAGAGUUUACAAAAGUAUUCUACAAACAAGUGGAUAACAACCGGCAUUUAACGUCCAAACUAUAUCUGGACACCGGCCUACUAGUUUGGAAUGGAAAUGGAAUAACUGGUAACGACAAGAUACAGAAGUUCCUGAUGGAUUUACCUGCCAGUAAUCAUGUGCUGAAAACAUUAGAUGCACAGCCAAUCUCAGAGAAUUUAGUUUCAAACAAGCUAACGUACCUCAUUCAAGCUUGUGGAGAUGUAACCUAUCAAAAUGAUGACAGCAAGAAGCCAUUUCAACAAACAUUUGUGAUUGUGGCUGUCGAUGGAAAGUGGAAAAUUGCAUCAGAUUGUUUCAGAUUACAAGUGCCAUAUAAUAGCUAAUAGGUGGAGUGUAUUUUAAGAUUUUUGUAUUCGGGAACUAACCAUCAUUAUCACCAAACAUACAAAAAUAUAUUUUAAUGCUGAUCCUGGAGAUGAAUGAGUUUAACUGACUCAAGACUCAAGAAGCAAGAUAAAUGAGAGAUCAGUUUGAUAAGAUUAUCUUUAAAGCAAGAUGUUAUCACUGGCUGAAAGAGAACCAAUAUCUUCUACUCCAAGGCAUAAGAAGACACAUUUAUUUAUUUUUAUAAAUAUUGUACAAAACAGCUAUGAAUAAAUGUCAUGAUUACAACAAA